Molecule: long non-coding RNA, 684 nt
Organism: Zingiber officinale
Lineage: Eukaryota; Viridiplantae; Streptophyta; Magnoliopsida; Zingiberales; Zingiberaceae
Exons: 2
Source: RefSeq, a predicted model, not a curated record
UCGUAAAUUGAUUGAGGAAGUGAAACCCUAGAAGGCCCAAUUGUCUAUAAAUGGUAAAGGACAGUGGAUCGGAAGACAACGCGGCAUUCCCCGGCUGCGCGAGAGAGGGAGUCGGUGAGGGAGAUCGGCGGGGUUUUAAUGUCUUGAUCCAAGACAAGCAAGGGUCGGAUCGAGCGAUGUAGUAGCUCUCGGCGAACCUGCUCGAGGAUGGGCGAAUGCAUUCGGGGAAGAUUCAACACUGCUUGUGGUUCUGAGCCUUAGGGCUUGAAUCGAAGAGGCCCGUCUUAUGGCACUUGCCAGGAAGCACCAACAGGAAAAGAUGAUCUGUAGAAAUAUGCUUGCAACGCCCUUCCUACUUUUUUUAAUGAUAAAAGCCGUUUAAUUAAAUUUCACAUAGCUAUUAUCAGGCGUUUAUCAAUUUUACCGUUUGUCACUUUGAUUCCCGUUGUUUGUUGUGACUUGGAGUUGGGAAUUGUUCAUUGUGUUGAAGUAGAGUUUGGUGUAUAUGGAACUAUGGGUUAAUUCAUCCAUACUUUUACUGUGUUGAAGAGGUUGCCAUGGGUCCAAAGAGUGAGUCUCCUGUACUCCAUAAGCUGCCUUGCAUUGAUUGGCUGCUGAUUCCAUGGGUGAAACAUGUACUUAGAUUACUAUUUAACAAUAAAAAUAUGAUACUUGGAUUCUAUA